Molecule: microRNA precursor, 52 nt
Filed under: Ciona intestinalis (vase tunicate)
Lineage: Eukaryota; Metazoa; Chordata; Ascidiacea; Phlebobranchia; Cionidae
Description: microRNA cin-mir-4036 precursor
Source: miRBase by way of RNAcentral
UGUGCAAAGCCCAAUCAUGUCUAUGCCAGUUAGACGGGUUGGUUUUGCAUGU